RNAcentral lists this RNase P RNA (560 nucleotides) under Thermoleophilaceae bacterium. Its description in RNAcentral is "RNase P RNA component class A". It matches the Rfam family "Bacterial RNase P class A". From Rfam's summary of the family: Ribonuclease P (RNase P) is a ubiquitous endoribonuclease, found in archaea, bacteria and eukarya as well as chloroplasts and mitochondria. Lineage: Bacteria; Bacillati; Actinomycetota; Thermoleophilia; Thermoleophilales; Thermoleophilaceae. The record is from RNAcentral.
UCUGCAAGCCAGACGGCCGCGGGGACAACCAAACCGGUGUCAAGGAUUCGUCCGAGGCGCUGGCGGCGGGGGUCUUCGAGGAAAGUCCGGACACCAGAGAGCAAUGAUGGUCGGGGGUCAAACCCUGACGCGGCGAAAGCCGACGGAAAGUGCCACAGAAAAUAACCGCCUAAGUCGUGCGGAACCAGCUUCGGUUGGAACCGCCUUCUCCGGAUCGGAAGGGCCGCAAGGUCCGGAAGUGAACGAAAGGGUAUGCACGGACGGUAAGGGUGAAACGGUGCGGUAAGAGCGCACCAGCGUUGCGGUGACGUAGCGGCUAGGUAAACCCCAUCAGGUGCAAGAGCAAACAGGAUCGUUGAGGCUGCUCGCGGAGAUCCAGGUAGCUCGCAGGAGGUAGAACCAAGACAUAGGAGUUCGGAAGGCUUCGGCCCAUGUGCUCCACCGCUUCUUCGGAAGUGUUGGCUUCGGUGAAGCCCCCGCCUUACAGGGCGCAAGCCUGAGUAGGGCAGAGAUAGAUGGCCGUUCAACGACAGAAUCCGGCUUAUCGGCUUGCUAAGGGA